This 404-nucleotide ribosomal RNA is filed under the name uncultured bacterium. RNAcentral's name for it is "bacterial SSU rRNA". It matches the Rfam family "Bacterial small subunit ribosomal RNA", at positions 355 to 774 of the family's 1533-position model. The record is from RNAcentral.
UGGGGGAUAUUGCGCAAUGGGGGAAACCCUGACGCAGCAACGCCGCGUGAAGGAAGAAGGUUUUCGGAUUGUAAACUUCUUUUGUCAGGGACGAAUAGAUGACGGUACCUGACGAAUAAGCUCCGGCUAACUACGUGCCAGCAGCCGCGGUAAUACGUAGGGAGCGAGCGUUGUCCGGAAUUACUGGGUGUAAAGGGUGCGUAGGCGGCAGAGCAAGUCAGAUGUGAAAUACACGGGCUUAACCCGUGGGCUGCAUUUGAAACUGUUCAGCUUGAGUGAAGCAGAGGCAGGCGGAAUUCCCGGUGUAGCGGUGAAAUGCGUAGAGAUCGGGAGGAACACCAGUGGCGAAGGCGGCCUGCUGGGCUUUAACUGACGCUGAGGCACGAAAGCGUGGGUAGCAAACA